RNAcentral lists this unclassified non-coding RNA (1089 nucleotides) under Hevea brasiliensis (rubber tree). The record is from RNAcentral. Lineage: Eukaryota; Viridiplantae; Streptophyta; Magnoliopsida; Malpighiales; Euphorbiaceae.
UUCUCUUCGCUAGAAAAAAAAAAAAAAAACGCCACAGAGAAUCACUUUUGAGAUCCGGCAAUAAAAUGUCAAUUUCCCUUUAAUCUCGCCUCUAUCACAAUUAGGGUUUUCACUAUCGUCCCCAAUUUCCGUUAAAUUACUACUAACCCAACUGUCUCCUCACUCAAUUCUAUGCCCAGUGUUCAUUGUCUUGGGUUCCUAGAUUCCAUUCACCUCUAAAAUUCUGUUUCUUUUGGACCGGAUCAAAACCGUCAACUGAGGUUCUACUGAUUUUUGCUGGGAUUUUCAUUGUUGUAUGAUUUGUUGACUUUUGGGUUUGAAUUGCUGAUCAUAAGGAGCUGAGAUUGGCGGAAAUUGUGUGUGGUCGGUGUUGCAUGUUGGGAAUUACUGAAUUUGGAGCUCAAAUUCAGUAUUUUUUUUUGUUGAAUGAUGAUAAGGAGAUUGAUAACGGUUUGGGUUUGAUAAUUUUUUGGGUUUUUUAGGGGUUGGCUUUGAUUUGGUGACUCUGCAUGUGUAACCGGUAAGGGGUCCUCUGCUAGAGUGUGGAGGAUCCCUAUUAAUUGUUUUAUUAUUUGCCUAAUUAUUAUUGUUGAAGAGGUUGAGAGAUGAAGAAAUGCAAAUGACAACAAUCACUUGAUUUGGAGGUUCUGUUUUUGGCAAGUUGAGGGGUUUUGCAUAAUUGGUAUUUGUGGAUUGGUAUUGAUUGUCCAGCAUAUUUAUAUAAAUUAUUUUGGGAGGGAAAUGUUUGGUUCUGGUGCAGCUACUGGCCAUGAUAAUACUGGAGUCGUUCCUAUGCGCUUUGUGUGGCCUUACGGAGGGAGGAGUGUGUUUCUCAGCGGCUCUUUCACUGGUUGGACUGAACACAUACCUAUGUCCCCAAUGGAGGGGUGCCCGACUGUGUUCCAAGUUAUUUGGAGCUUAACACCGGGACAUCAUCAGUACAAGUUUUUUGUUGACGGAGAAUGGCGGCAUGAUGAGCAUCAGCGGUCUGUAAGUGGGAAUUACGGGGUAGUAAAUACUGUUUUCGUACCCAUGGAACUGUAUGUGGAUCCUUCAGUUUUUGAUCUUGAGACAUCUGGAUCUAAUAUG